This 438-nucleotide ribosomal RNA is filed under the name uncultured bacterium. RNAcentral's name for it is "bacterial SSU rRNA". It matches the Rfam family "Bacterial small subunit ribosomal RNA", at positions 954 to 1392 of the family's 1533-position model. The record is from RNAcentral.
GCAUAACGCGAAGAACCUUACCCAGGUUUGACAUGCUUUCGACCGGCGUUGAAAGACGCCUUUCCUUCGGGACGGAAGCACAGAUGCUGCAUGGCUGUCGUCAGCUCGUGCCGUGAGGUGUUCGGUUAAGUCCGGCAACGAGCGCAACCCGUACUGCCAGUUACCAUCAAGUAAUGUUGGGGACUCUGGCGGGACUGCCCGUGUCAAGCGGGAGGAAGGCGCGGAUGACGUCAAGUCCGUAUGGCUCUUACACCUGGGGCCGCAAACGUGCUACAAUGGCGGGUACAAUGGGCUGCUGCAUCGCGAGAUGUGGCGAACCUCCAAAACCCGCCCCAGUUCGGAUUGCAGCCUGCAACUCGACUGCAUGAAGUCGGAAUCGCUAGUAAAGGGACAUCAGCUACGGUCCCUUGAAUACGUUCCCGGGUCUUGUACACACCG